AUCUUUUUUAAAUGACUUUAAACACCCAAUAAAGAUACUAAAGCAAACACAAACAUGAUCAGUUGGUUUUCAAUUAAAUAUUUUUCAAUUUUGUAGCCUAUUAAUGACAUGUAUUUAAGGUGUUGUCACUGUGGCACACCAAAGACAGUAGUGUCAGUUCACUGCUAAAAUUUAAAUGAUUUAUUAUUAUUAUACUAUUAUUCUCUCUUUACAUUUAACCUGAACAGCUGGCCCAUUUCAACUGGACAUUGUAAAAAUAGGUCAAGAGGGAACCUGCUGAGACUUUAACUCUCAUAAUUCCAAUACAAUUAUGCUUUUUCAUAUGCCAGCUUAUAAAAAUAUCAUUAGAUCUCGGGCAUACCUUAUUUGAUGGUCAUAUAAAGUCAUUUAACAAAAGGUGGCCCAUUUUAGCUGACUCCACCCUACAUUUUUAAGUUUGAAAUCACUUAACACUCGGAGCUGCAGCACUUUGCUGGUUCUAUUUUUUUAUUUACCAUUAUUUGUUUGUAUUAUCUGUAGCUGUUAGUGUCUGCAUCAUCACAGAUUUGCUGACAAUGAGAAUAGAAAUCGGCGAUUAAGAUAACUUUGGAUGCCGACGGCACUGUAAGGCAUAUUUUUAUACUUCUACAAGAGGCCAGCAGAGGGCAGUGUCGUUCCACAUUUCAACAUUUGAAUCUCUCCAACAACUACGCUAAUUCUAAACUUUAGAUAAUUAUUCCAUUACUCUUCCAUUAUGUCUUUAAAUGUUUUAUGUCUUUUGUUUUCUGCCAUGCCAUGAUGCAUCUCAUUAUGCCCUCUGGAUAUCAAAUCAAAACAUCCCCAAACCAACAGUAGACUGGAUGUUUUAGGAAAGUCCAAUACUUGUCCCUCAAGGCCUCUGGCAGACUCCGAACUGAACUGAACUCCGCCUCAACACCUUCAAGGCUUUUGAACAGCAUGACCCUGUCUCUACUGUCCUCUGCUACCACCACCCAACUCUACCACCUGACCCACACCACUAGGACCUCUAAGACAGCUGAGUCUCUCUCAGGCCUGACCACAUAAUGACAGACCUGCUGUAUAUUAAAAGGACCCUGCCCAUGCAUCCUAUCCCUGUCACCUCCCUCUUCGUGGGCCUUUAUAAGGCCCUCACAUGGGCGGGGGGGCACUACUUUCCUAAGAGGAACUGUGCACAGACAUCUGGAAGGCUUGCUAGUUCCUAAAGCCACCUAUUCACCCACAGCCAGGGAUCUCCUGUC
Long non-coding RNA from Micropterus dolomieu (smallmouth bass), 1238 nucleotides. RefSeq lists it as uncharacterized. The record is from RefSeq and is a predicted model, not a curated record. NCBI's taxonomy places the organism in Eukaryota, Metazoa, Chordata, Actinopteri, Centrarchiformes, Centrarchidae. The transcript is spliced from 3 exons.